UACGUAGGGGGCAAGCGUUGUCCGGAAUUAUUGGGCGUAAAGAGCGCGUAGGCGGUCCGAUAAGUCGGCUGUGAAAGUCAGGGGCUCAACCCUUGGAAGCCGGCCGAUACUGUCGGACUAGAGUCCGGAAGAGGCGAGUGGAAUUCCCGGUGUAACGGUGAAAUGUGCAGAUAUCGGGAAGAACACCCGUGGCGAAGGCGGCUCUCUGGGACGGUACUGACGCUGAGACGCGAAAGCGUGGGGAGCGAACAGG
RNAcentral lists this ribosomal RNA (253 nucleotides) under uncultured bacterium. RNAcentral describes it as "partial 16S ribosomal RNA". It matches the Rfam family "Bacterial small subunit ribosomal RNA", at positions 524 to 776 of the family's 1533-position model. The record is from RNAcentral.